This 588-nucleotide ribosomal RNA is filed under the name Enterococcus casseliflavus. Its description in RNAcentral is "bacterial SSU rRNA". It matches the Rfam family "Bacterial small subunit ribosomal RNA", at positions 56 to 617 of the family's 1533-position model. Lineage: Bacteria; Bacillati; Bacillota; Bacilli; Lactobacillales; Enterococcaceae. The record is from RNAcentral.
UGCAAGUCGAACGCUUUUUCUUUCACCGGAGCUUGCUCCACCGAAAGAAAAAGAGUGGCGAACGGGUGAGUAACACGUGGGUAACCUGCCCAUCAGAAGGGGAUAACACUUGGAAACAGGUGCUAAUACCGUAUAACACUAUUUUCCGCAUGGAAGAAAGUUGAAAGGCGCUUUUGCGUCACUGAUGGAUGGACCCGCGGUGCAUUAGCUAGUUGGUGAGGUAACGGCUCACCAAGGCAACGAUGCAUAGCCGACCUGAGAGGGUGAUCGGCCACACUGGGACUGAGACACGGCCCAGACUCCUACGGGAGGCAGCAGUAGGGAAUCUUCGGCAAUGGACGAAAGUCUGACCGAGCAACGCCGCGUGAGUGAAGAAGGUUUUCGGAUCGUAAAACUCUGUUGUUAGAGAAGAACAAGGAUGAGAGUAAAACGUUCAUCCUUUGACGGUAUCUAACCAGAAAGCCACGGCUAACUACGUGCCAGCAGCCGCGGUAAUACGUAGGUGGCAAGCGUUGUCCGGAUUUAUUGGGCGUAAAGCGAGCGCAGGCGGUUUCUUAAGUCUGAUGUGAAAGCCCCCGGCUCACCGGG